RNAcentral lists this long non-coding RNA (230 nucleotides) under Capsicum annuum. RNAcentral's name for it is "long non-coding RNA (CANN_LNC005209)". The record is from RNAcentral. Lineage: Eukaryota; Viridiplantae; Streptophyta; Magnoliopsida; Solanales; Solanaceae.
AACGAUGUACUUUCAUUCAACACAAUAGCUUCAACACUAGGUGGACACAAAUUGAUCUUACUAGAAGAGUCGAUUGGUCAUCUAUAGGAUCAACUAGUGUAUCCACUCGCACAACAUGUACAUCAUCCACAAGUGGUAAGGAAUCAAUAUACUCAUAUGUAGGUAAGCUACUACUCACACUCAACGGCUUAUUAGUCACAUGUUCAUUAUUCACAUGUACCAAAGUAUAA